UAGGGAAUCUUCCACAAUGGGCGAAAGCCUGAUGGAGCAACGCCGCGUGUGUGAUGGAGGCUUUCGGGUCGUAAAGCACUGUUGUAUGGGAAGAACAGCUAGAAUAGGAAAUGAUUUUAGUUUGACGGUACCAUACCAGAAAGGGACGGCUAAAUACGUGCCAG
RNAcentral lists this ribosomal RNA (164 nucleotides) under uncultured bacterium. RNAcentral's name for it is "partial 16S rRNA". It matches the Rfam family "Bacterial small subunit ribosomal RNA", at positions 355 to 511 of the family's 1533-position model. The record is from RNAcentral.